CAGCCGCCGCGGGAAUACGUAGGUCCCGAGCGUUUGUCCGGAUUUAUUGGGCGUAAAGCGUGCGCAGGCGGUUCGUUAAGACAGAUGUGAAAUCCCCGGGCUUAACCUGGGAACUGCAUUUGUGACUGGCGGGCUAGAGUAUGGCAGAGGGGGGUAGAAUUCCACGUGUAGCAGUGAAAUGCGUAGAGAUGUGGAGGAAUACCGAUGGCGAAGGCAGCCCCCUGGGCCAAUACUGACGCUCAUGCACGAAAGCGUGGGGAGCAAACAGGAUUAGAUACCCCAGUAGUCCCUGUCUCUUAUA
RNAcentral lists this ribosomal RNA (301 nucleotides) under uncultured bacterium. RNAcentral describes it as "partial 16S ribosomal RNA". It matches the Rfam family "Bacterial small subunit ribosomal RNA", at positions 509 to 808 of the family's 1533-position model. The record is from RNAcentral.